CAGGAGAGCUUGCUCUCUGGGUGGCGAGUGGCGGACGGGUGAGGAAUACAUCGGAAUCUACUUUUUCGUGGGGGAUAACGUAGGGAAACUUACGCUAAUACCGCAUACGACCUACGGGUGAAAGCAGGGGAUCUUCGGACCUUGCGCGAUUGAAUGAGCCGAUGUCGGAUUAGCUAGUUGGCGGGGUAAAGGCCCACCAAGGCGACGAUCCGUAGCUGGUCUGAGAGGAUGAUCAGCCACACUGGAACUGAGACACGGUCCAGACUCCUACGGGAGGCAGCAGUGGGGAAUAUUGGACAAUGGGCGCAAGCCUGAUCCAGCCAUACCGCGUGGGUGAAGAAGGCCUUCGGGUUGUAAAGCCCUUUUGUUGGGAAAGAAAUCCAGCUGGUUAAUACCCGGUUGGGAUGACGGUACCCAAAGAAUAAGCACCGGCUAACUUCGUGCCAGCAGCCGCGGUAAUACGAAGGGUGCAAGCGUUACUCGGAAUUACUGGGCGUAAAGCGUGCGUAGGUGGUCGUUUAAGUCCGUUGUGAAAGCCCUGGGCUCAACCUGGGAACUGCAGUGGAUACUGGGCGACUAGAAUGUGGUAGAGGGUAGCGGAAUUCCUGGUGUAGCAGUGAAAUGCGUAGAGAUCAGGAGGAACAUCCAUGGCGAAGGCAGCUACCUGGACCAACAUUGACACUGA
RNAcentral lists this ribosomal RNA (685 nucleotides) under Stenotrophomonas maltophilia. Its description in RNAcentral is "bacterial SSU rRNA". It matches the Rfam family "Bacterial small subunit ribosomal RNA", at positions 71 to 749 of the family's 1533-position model. Lineage: Bacteria; Pseudomonadati; Pseudomonadota; Gammaproteobacteria; Lysobacterales; Lysobacteraceae. The record is from RNAcentral.